Tupaia belangeri chinensis (Chinese tree shrew) is the source of this 277-nucleotide long non-coding RNA. RefSeq lists it as uncharacterized. The transcript has 3 exons. Lineage: Eukaryota; Metazoa; Chordata; Mammalia; Scandentia; Tupaiidae. The record is from RefSeq and is a predicted model, not a curated record.
CACGGAGCUCCGUGCCCCUGGUGGUGGCUGCCCAGUAGGCGAAGAGGGUGCCCAGGUGAUCCCACCCCCAGGGGCUACUUCCAUGGAGGCCUGAGCAGAAAAGAACCGUCCACCUCAUGGGCCCCUGGCGCCUUUCCUGCCUGGGGCCCUGAGCACCGCCUGGGAGGAGAGAGGAAGCUGUUUCAGAAGCCCCCUGAGCCACACGUAGGGCCCAGCUGCACACGCGUGUCCUCAGGAGGCUGCCACAUGACCUGUUACAUGCCACACGCGCUCCCGC